GGGGGGAUAGCCAAGUGGUCAAAGGCAGCAGACUGUAAAUCUGCCGGCGGAUGCCUUCGCAGGUUCAAAUCCUGCUCCCCCCACCA
Molecule: transfer RNA, 86 nt
Filed under: Acetomicrobium sp.
Lineage: Bacteria; Thermotogati; Synergistota; Synergistia; Synergistales; Acetomicrobiaceae
Description: tRNA-Tyr
Rfam family: tRNA
About the family: Transfer RNA (tRNA) molecules are approximately 80 nucleotides in length.
Source: RNAcentral